GCUCACGGCCAUAUCAGCCUGGGUACUCCCGAUCUCGUCUGAUCUCGGAAGCUAAGCAGGGUCGGGCCUGGUUAGUACUUGGAUGGGAGACCGCCUGGGAAUACCAGGUGCUGUAAGCA
RNAcentral lists this ribosomal RNA (119 nucleotides) under Salmo salar (Atlantic salmon). The record is from RNAcentral. Lineage: Eukaryota; Metazoa; Chordata; Actinopteri; Salmoniformes; Salmonidae.